GGGUGAGUAACACGUGACUAACCUACCCUCCGAGUGGGGGAAGUAAACUCCGGGAAAACCGGGGGCUAAUACCGCAUAACAUCUUCGGAACGCGAGUUCUGUUGAUCAAAGGAGCAAUUCGCUUGAGGAGGGAGUCGCGGCUGAUUAGCUAGUUGGCGGGGUAAUGGCCCACCAAGGCUUAGAUCGGUAGCCGGCCUGAGAGGGCGCACGGCCACACUGGAACUGAAACACGGUCCAG
Molecule: ribosomal RNA, 238 nt
Filed under: uncultured bacterium
Lineage: Bacteria
Description: partial 16S ribosomal RNA
Rfam family: Bacterial small subunit ribosomal RNA
Source: RNAcentral